GCGGAGGAACCGCCACUGGGUGAGCACAUUGACGGUACUCAUUGGUGGAAGGGUACAGAUAAUCAGCGUUGCCCAUCAAAGUAUAUGCUGUUAUUAAUUGAGUUUAGCAGCAGAGAUAUAUGUGUGUGUGUGUGUGUGUGUGUGUGUGUGUGUGUGUGUGUGUGUGUGGAGGAGAUUGAAUAGAAGAAAGAAGAUGGAAAGAGGAAGGGAGAGUAAGUGCUGGGGGGAUGUGAAAUGGGAU
Molecule: long non-coding RNA, 241 nt
Filed under: Gossypium barbadense (sea-island cotton)
Lineage: Eukaryota; Viridiplantae; Streptophyta; Magnoliopsida; Malvales; Malvaceae
Description: long non-coding RNA (GBAR_LNC010044)
Source: RNAcentral